CAAUCCAUGAGUGAAGUGGCGACCGGGUGAGUAACACGUGACUAACCUACCCUAGAGUGGGGGAUAACCUCGGGAAACCGGGGCUAAUACCGCAUAACAUCGCAAGGGGAAGCUCCUUGCGAUCAAAGAAACAAUUCGCUCAAGGAGGGGGUCGCGGCUGAUUAGCUAGUUGGUGAGGUAACGGACCACCAAGGCUUAUAUCAGUAGCCGGCCUGAGAGGGCGCACGGCCACACUGGAACUGAAACACGGUCCAGACUCCUACGGGAGGCAGCAGUGGGGAAUUUUGCGCAAUGGGGGAAACCCUGACGCAGCAACGCCGCGUGGAGGAUGAAGUCCCUUGGGAUGUAAACUCCUUUCGAUCGGGACGAUAAUGACGGUACCGGAAGAAGAAGCACCGGCUAACUCUGUGCCAGCAACCGCGGUAAUACAGAGGGUGCAAGCGUUGUUCGGAAUUAUUGGGCGUAAAGGGCGCGUACGCGGUGCGGUAAGUCUGUGGUGAAAUCUCCGGGCUCAACUCGGAAAUUGCCGCGGGGACUGCCGUGCUGGAGUGUGGGAGAGGUGAGUGGAAUUCCCGGUGUAGCGGUGAAAUGCAUAGAUAUCGGGAGGAACACCUGUGGCGAAAGCGGCUCACUGGACCACAACUGACGCUGAGGAGCGAAAGCUAUGGGAGCAAACAGGAUUAGAUACCCUGGU
Molecule: ribosomal RNA, 694 nt
Filed under: uncultured bacterium
Lineage: Bacteria
Description: bacterial SSU rRNA
Rfam family: Bacterial small subunit ribosomal RNA
Source: RNAcentral